CGGGUGAGUAACGCGUGGGUAACCUGCCUCAUACAGGGGGAUAACAGUUAGAAAUGACUGCUAAUACCGCAUAAGCGCACAGAAUCGCAUGAUUCGGUGUGAAAAACUCCGGUGGUAUGAGAUGGACCCGCGUCUGAUUAGCUAGUUGGUGGGGUAAGGGCCUACCAAGGCGACGAUCAGUAGCCGACCUGAGAGGGUGAUCGGCCACAUUGGGACUGAGACACGGCCCAAACUCCUACGGAAGGCAGCAG
This 251-nucleotide ribosomal RNA is filed under the name uncultured bacterium. Its description in RNAcentral is "partial 16S ribosomal RNA". It matches the Rfam family "Bacterial small subunit ribosomal RNA", at positions 103 to 354 of the family's 1533-position model. The record is from RNAcentral.